GUGAUGUGGAAAAGGAAUACCUUUUCUACAGACUAAGUUUUUUUGCUUCUUUUCUUUAAUGCACAUAUCUUUAAAAUUAUAACAUUAAGAAAAUGAAAAAACAGAACUUUGUGGUCAGUACAAACAGUGAAUCCUGUGCUUGAAAGACAACAGUAAUGUAACCUGUAUACUGUCCUGCAAAUAUUUCAGCAACUCAUCACCAGCACCAAAUGGGACCUUGGUGGCUUUCAGGUUACGGGAUUGUUUGUGUUUCUGUGUGUUCAAUGAAUUCCUUCUUUUUUUUUGCCCUUUGAUUUAAAACUGUGUGAACAUUUUCUUCUCUUGGGUGGUGUCGUGUGGAGCCAGGAGUUGGACUCGAUCCUUGUGGGCUCCUUCCAGCUCGGGAUAUCCUGUGAUGUUAUUUCUUCUUUAUUACUUGAGUGACUGAACCAAAAUAACUUGGAAACGUGAGUAUGUAGGGGUCUGUAAAAAAUACAUGACAAACUUCAGCUAUUUUGACAAACAGAAAAGAAAAACAGAAUUCAGAAGGGCUCAUUGUUGACUGAAACAUUUUGUUUUGAGGUUAAGUGGUCAUUUCUAGUGUUUAACUCCAGAGCAGUUUACCUUUUACGUGUGUGUGUAUAUAUAGUGUGUAUAUAAAUGUCAUAUGUGUAUGUACAAAUAUUUAUGCUGUGUGUAUAUAUGCAAACACCUAUCUGUACUUUGAUCCGAAAGUAAUGCCUCCUAUUAAUUUCCCCGGAAACUACGACAGCUACAAAGAGCACAGUAACGCUAUUUGACAGAGCAAAUUUUCAGCUGCGAUAUAUGCCAUUAAUAUAAAAGAUGCAUCAUAUACACGUGCACAGCGGUACCGCGGGAGGGCGAUGUCGCCCAGCUCAAGGCUCCAACCAGGAGCCUGUCGGUACGGCUGGGAGCGGAGAGACGCUGGGCUGCUGCCCGGGCUCGGGCCGGGGCAUUCCCCUUCCUUUUCCUUUCUGCCCCGUCUCUCCCUUUAUCCCCCAGGGGGACGCGCAUCGCCCAUAUGUCUCCUCCCCGCAAUUCCCCUCGUGUUUCUCUCCUGGCUGCAAGGCUUCUCCUCAACCCCGGGGUUUUUGGAGGCCCUCGUGCUUGUGAGUGGAAGCAAGAGACUGCAGGAAAUACAACCACUCAUGAUGCCAGCUAUCACACUCUUACCUUUUCAAGCGCCCCCAGUGCCUGCAUUUUCUUUCUAUGGCCUUUAGAGUGCUGUGUCUGAGACCUGCCAGUAUGUUAACUAUUCCAGCUAUUUAUCAGCACUAUCCAUCAGCAAUUUGCUGUUGUGAUUGGCACCAAUUUUACAGCGCUCCCCUUUUUCCUCUUGCCACAAUCCAUACGUUGUGCCAUGUUUUCAGAUCCUGGCUGAUUUCCCCAUAUGGUUUCCAUAUGGGAACAUGUUGCUCUUGUUAGCCACCUUCGACGCAGCCUGUCAGCCAGGUCCCCGCUCAGAAACAAAUAAAUUGUCUCGUGUCUACUGUAUUUCCUUUCA
This 1504-nucleotide long non-coding RNA is filed under the name Chrysolophus pictus (golden pheasant). RNAcentral describes it as "lncRNA (ENSCPIG00010010457.1)". The record is from RNAcentral. Lineage: Eukaryota; Metazoa; Chordata; Aves; Galliformes; Phasianidae.